UCAGCUUCUCGGUCUUUUGGCUAAGAUCAAGUGUAGUAUCUGUUCCUAUCAGUUUAAUACUUUCAUUUCUGAGUGCUAUCACAGAACUCCUCAUACAAGAGCUGUGCUUGCAUUUUUCAGAUCUAGCUUUCUCUCUCUCUACAGAAAAGGCAAGUCUGAAACUU
Molecule: small nuclear RNA, 164 nt
Filed under: Procavia capensis (Cape rock hyrax)
Lineage: Eukaryota; Metazoa; Chordata; Mammalia; Hyracoidea; Procaviidae
Description: U2 spliceosomal RNA (ENSPCAG00000020508.1)
Rfam family: U2 spliceosomal RNA
About the family: U2 is a small nuclear RNA (snRNA) component of the spliceosome (involved in pre-mRNA splicing). Complementary binding between U2 snRNA (in an area lying towards the 5' end but 3' to hairpin I) and the branchpoint sequence (BPS) of the intron results the bulging out of an unpaired adenosine, on the BPS, which initiates a nucleophilic attack at the intronic 5' splice site, thus starting the first of two transesterification reactions that mediate splicing.
Source: RNAcentral